Molecule: long non-coding RNA, 2410 nt
Organism: Stomoxys calcitrans (stable fly)
Lineage: Eukaryota; Metazoa; Arthropoda; Insecta; Diptera; Muscidae
Exons: 4
Source: RefSeq, a predicted model, not a curated record
UGCAAUAAACAGUCUGUGAUAUAUUCCUACCAUUUAUGUGGUACCUUCGGAGUAUUUGUAGUGUAAUAUAAUACUUGAAGGUACCUAUUUUCUGACAAGUGUCAAAACAGAAAACUAUGGACAACACAUGAAACGAAUUUCGGACCAAAUUAAGCAUAAAGGUAAGUAUAUGUAGACUUUUUGACGCUAUUGUAAGACUUUGAAUGCGCCUAAUCUUAUGCCAGGUUUCAACGCCUUUACCUUUUUAUAGCUUCUCCUUUCCUAGCGUAGACACCAUGUGCUCUCUUAACUUGUGAUUUUCAACACCUAACCUCACCUCUCGGUCGGCAGCAUAUAACGAGGGCAACACGUGGGUCCCAGUCUAUCCCUCAGAGGGCGCAUGCAUAUAUUGAAAGAGCCUAUUUAAUUAAACAAUGUAUUACCGUCUGUCUCAUCUCCCAAUUAUUCAAACAAAAACUAAAUUCUCAAAAAAAAUAAGAAAACCAUAUGCCUUUAUCUAUAAACGAAUGUAGCCUCAAUGCAUUUAAAUUGUCUGACUAUCCAUGUAGACGUUUCAAUCAUAUUUUCAUUUAAAAAUCUUUACACUUGUUAUUUUUUUGUAGACAGCAUAUAUGUUUUCUAAUUUAAUAUGAUUUAUAUCUUAUAAAAUUUACAAAGAAAAAUCAAAAAGUAUGGUGAAGUAACAAUUACUCGAAUUUCUUGCCAAUCACGUUGAACAAUUCAAUCAAUUAAUUUUAUUCUUUUGAUUUUUCUUUUUUUCUAACUUUAUUCCUGCUCACUCGACUCUUCUCUUUCUUACCUAUCUCUUUAUUCACACAAAACACAAAAAAAAAUUACAAAGCUUAGAAAAUGUUAUAAUUUCUUUCUUUUUAUUUAACACUUUGUGCUGUGGCUGAGGUUGACUUAAAAAUCACUUGUCAGAGAUGUUGUCAGCUUGUGAGUUCCGCUGGGAAAGAACAUUAACCACGCGUUCUUGCCCACGCCUCGAUUCUCUCAACUGGCAGUGAACAUCCCUGUUUUCGCCAUGUCAACUAUUUGCCACCCUUUGGCCGUCGAAAGAUCAUCCCUGAAUCACCAUUGUGAAUGGCCCUACUCAUUUGGCGUAUGUCAUCCGUAGCCAAAUCAUCCUCGGCAAAAGUAGCAACCACAACACAAAUCAAAGCAAAUAUCCAAAUAUUGCGUAAAAAAAUAAAAUAAAACCCCAGGAGGUGGCCGUCACAAAGCCAGCUCUUUUCAUGAAGCCCGUUGAUGUGAAAAGAGUUGGGAAGGAUAAGAAAAUAAAGAACUGAAAGCAAUUAGUUUCCAUUCUUCCUAGCGUACGCGUGUGUGUGUGCAUAAAAACGUAAAUAAACGAGAAAAAAAUUCGUCCCAUUUGCUUACAUGCGAAAUAAGUAUGCAGGAAUAAAAAAAAAUGCAAAUGCCAAUAAGAUUCUAUAGCAAUAUAUUGCGUGAGAAGUAUUACGGUCAAUAUUCCCUGUAAAUGUUCGGCUUGGUGCACGAAGAUGUAAGUAUUAGUCAAGUAAAAACAAUCAUAGCAAAAAGUAUGGUGGUUUUUCUCAGAGAGCCGUGGCAAAUUCAACAUCGACAACUGGAGGACUAUUUUAUGGCCAAAAAAAUCCAAUUGUAAAAUCAACCAGACAAUGUAUGUCCAUUGCCUUAUGAUGACGGUUAACAAAAAAAAAGACAGGCCUAAAAUAUUUGCCAACAAUAACUACCCUUGCUGCAUUGUAUGUAAACAAACAACCAAAUUGAGUGCCAACCAGGCAAAAAAAUGAGACGCAAAUAUUCUCAUAGAUAUUCCUGUGGCAAAGCAAAAUGUGACCGGGUAUGCUAAUGACGCACAAAAAUAAAAGGAUCAGGUAGCUGCAUGUAGCCUUGCGUCCCAACUACAAUCGCCGCCAGAUGAGUGUAAGCGGACGGACAAUUUCAAAUGGAAAAAUGCAAUUAAGCGGUAUGAAUGUACAUUGAAGAGUACAUUAGUGCCUGGCCAAAGAAUUUCUUAAGAUAAGUCUGAAUUGUUAAAUUUUAUGUUAAUGCCUUUCUCUAAUAAUGUUCUUUACUUUCCAGGAAAUUAUUCUGUUGUCAUCAUACUAAAGUCUUUUUCCUUUCGUUUUCCAGGUCUAUGGAUGCAUCUACUACAAUCAAUAUGAGUGGAAGUCGAUGAUAAAAGCACAGGAUAUCCAGCUAUAUAUGAAUGACAACAUAAUAAACCAACUUUACAUGGUAGAAUACUUGGCUGUAAUCUGUAGCAGUUCAUGGUAAAGAUGGGUGUGCCGAAAUUUGAAGCAGUUGAAUUUGAUAAUGUUACAGAAUUUAUGUUUUUCUACAUUUAAUUAGAAAAUUAAUUCAUGAACAUAAAAUUGUAAUUUUUUUUUUUUGAAUUUAAUAAUAAAACAUAUUGAAAUUCCAA